RNAcentral lists this ribosomal RNA (2946 nucleotides) under Triticum aestivum (bread wheat). Its description in RNAcentral is "partial small subunit ribosomal RNA". The record is from RNAcentral. Lineage: Eukaryota; Viridiplantae; Streptophyta; Magnoliopsida; Poales; Poaceae.
AUGAGGGGCCCAAUCCGCCUCCGCGCCUCCCCACGUCUAGGUCGAGAGGCGCCUCCACCACGACCUCAGCCGCUUCGAGCGAGAUGGUUCCCCUUGCUGCCGCCGUUGGGGGCGGAGAACCUGCCUCACCCUCAGGAUGUGCCGACUUUCUCCAUCCAAGUGGAUAUUACCGAGGAGUCAUUUGACCAUCUAAUGGCAUUGCUAUCCAAGAGGAUGCGUGAUGUAUGUUCAUUGAUGCUCGGUGAGCAUCCUGUCACACCACCGCUCGUCGAUGGCAAAGAUCUAUUCCACAUUGUUAAACUUUGCAAAGGAGCUGACGGCGUUGAGGUGCUGUUCCGAGAGUCCGAUAUAUACUUCUCUGGUUUUCGGCCUGAAAAAGACCCGAAAUAUUACGUGUUCAAUGAUGUGGAAAUUCCAAGCUGGAUUCCAUCCGAGAUUCUUCCCUAUGAUUCGGGCUAUCAUAAAACUGUCGCGGACAUCAGUUUGGGGCCUCAUUGUUUCCCUGCGACUUUUAAACAUCUGUUUAACUUCACUCCAAAAACUUUCAGAACUCAAACUGCAGACAGGCAAAAUGCAGUUCAUUGGUCAAUGGUAAAUUUGUCUGAAACCAGGCGAAUCAGAUCUAUGGAACGAAAGGUGAAACGACUCUUGAGGAUUGGCAGAGUUGAUACUGUUGGAGCUUCAUUGGAUGCUAAAGUGCAUGGUUGGGGUCAUGAGAGUUCUGUCUUGUUCGCUGCUGCAAGUGAUGAUGUAAACUGGGAGCAUAUAGGAUGUGGCGAGGAUCUUAUUACACUCAAGUUCAACCGAGAUGCACUUCCAAUAAUAAUUGGGCGGCUGAAAAGAGCAGCAGAGGCAGCGGCUGCGACGCUCAAUGAGAUAACUAUUCUCAUCAAGACCCUUUCCUCCAUAGACUCUAACCAAGCUCGCAACUGGGAGCAGCUCCACUACUACAGUCAGCUCCCCAACUUCCAUGGCAUAUCUUUUGAACUAAGGCAAGCUGCUGGUCUAUUGCUUAAAAACAAUUUGCAAUUGGCUUUUAAUGCUAUGCCUCCUUCAUCCCAAAAGUACGUCAAGUAUGAAUUGUUGACUUGUAUUGGUACACGUCAUAAGCAAAUUAGAUCAACAGCUUGCACUGUUAUAAGUGUACUUCUUCAAAUUGUUGGGUUUGACAAAUGGGCUGACUUGUUUGAGACUCUGAGACUGUGCUUUGAUAGUCAAGACCUGAACCAAAAGGAAGGUGCUGCAGAAACUAUCUACAAGAUAUGUGAGAACUUUCCUGAAGAUUCUAUUGUUGAUGCUGGUUUGCGCGAUCUACUAAUAUAUGACUUUGUGCCAAGACUCAUGCAGCUUUUUGAAAGUCCUCAUAUGAGUCUUAGAAGACUAUCUCUGCUUUGUGUGAACCAGUGCAUCUUCGUGGUUCCAUCUGUGUGUUCAUCAUGGACUCUGCUCAUGGAACGCCAGUUAAUUCCAGAGCUAUAUUUGGAAACUGCCAUUAAUUUCGUCCUGCUAGCUAGCAAUGAAUUGGAUGAAGAUCUUGCUCUGGAGGCCUGUAAAUUUUGGUACGCUUUCUGUCAACAUGUAUUAACCACCUGUAAACUUUUCAGGUCGUACUGUGAUUCCAGCAAAGGGUUGCAGGAGGUCUUGCCAGAAUUAAUCCCAACUUUGGUUCAAAAAAUGGUUUAUACUGAUCAUGAUGAUUCUCUGGCUGAUAUUAAGGAAUAUGAAUCCAUUUCCAUCAGGGACCAGGAUCUGAAGCGCCACUUCCAUGCGUCUCGAUUACAUAGAUUUGAAACUGGGAAGGAGAAUGAUAAGCUCGCUCAGACAGAUGAUGAUGGAUGGAAGGAUAGGGAAGUUGCUGUUCUAUGUCUUAAUACUAUAGCAGAGGGAUGCAUGACUGGAUUGUAUUCCCACACUCCGGAGAUUUUCCACAUGCUGAUCCUGUUACUUGAUGAUAAGUUUCCUCUUGUAAGGAGAAUCACCUGUCAAACCAUUUCCCGAUAUAGCAAGUUCAUUGUUCAGAGCUGUGACCAUGAACAAUUUGCUAAGAUCAUCGUGGGCCUGCUUAGAAGGAUAUUAGAUACUAACAAAAAAGUUCAGGAGGCUGCACGUUCUGCCUUCAUGACGAUUGGGAAGGAUGCUGCAGAAUCAAAUGGAAUGGAAAUUAUUUUGGAGCAACUCAUCUUAGAACUUGGGAAACACCAGAUGCGAGACCUUUGGUUAAUUUCUGAGGCACUUUGCAGUCUUGCUAAUGUUGUUGGAGCAAAGCUAAACAAGGUUCAACAUGCUGAUGAACUUCUCGCAGAACAUCUGCACAUAGUUGUUCCUCCAUUGAUCGAGAAGUGGCAGCAACUUCAAAAAUCUAAUAAAGAUAUCUUGCCCCUACUUGAAUGCUUUACAUCUAUCGCACAGGCAGCGGGAUCCGGAUUUUUUCAGUUUGCUGAGCCAGUGUUUCAGAACAGCCUAGAUCUUAUCAAGUUCCAGCAGUUGGCAAAUGCUGAUCCUGCCGCACCUCACGAUAAAGAUUUCAUCGUCUACUCAUUGGACCUUUUGUUAGUACUUGCAGAAGCACUUGGUGCUGAUACUGAAAGCCUGGUUUGCCAUACACAUGUACUUCCAAGACUUGAAGAAUUCCUUGAAGUUGCAGCAGAGCAACUGAUAAUGCAAUCCGUGAAGGCUGCACCAUCUGUAGCAAACAAUGCAUGCUGGAUCAUCGGGGAACUGGCAAUGAAGUUCGGCCAAGAAACUUCAUCACCAGUGGUGACCACCAUUCUAUCACGGCUGCUUCCUAUUCUAAGGUCUUCAGAGGGACUCGACAAUAUAGUUGUUGGAAACACAGCGAUAACUCUUGGAAGGCUUUCCUUGGUCUGGCCAAUGACCGUGUCAGCUCAUCUUAAACGGUCUGGUACCUACUCAACAGGACAGAAUAUGCAGUCUGUCAGCAAGUAG